AGGAAAUCCUCGUCUAUUUGCUCAUUCGCAGUUAACGUUAGAUGUAGCAGUCUGAGGCGAAAAGGAGCAGAAAAUAUCGUUGAAACAUAAGAUUCUAUUGCUUUACAAGGGAAUCUCAAUUCUCGAAGUUAUUUUCGCUGAACGUUAGAUUUAGCAGUCUGAGGCGAAAAGGAGCAGAAAAGAUCGUUGAAACAUAAGCAUGGUUUUCAAGUGAAUGUCGAUUCUCGAAGUUCUUUUCUGCAAAAUGAAGGUCAGAAGCCUGGUGUUUUACUUCAACUGUCUUGUUGCCGUAGCAGCAUCAAGCCACGAAUCCUACUGUCCAGCGUCCAUCCAUUCAGCAGGCGCGCGCAUAACUCAAGUUGACCUUGCCCUACAGAGCAAGCAUGUGAAAAAGCGUCUUCAGGGCCAAAGUCAGAUGUCAUGUAGUCAGCGGUGUCUGCAGCAAGACUGGUGUAUAUCGGUGAACUACGAAGUGUCUCGACCGGAAGGAGGGGCCUGCGAAUUGAACACAUACGGAGUCGAGAUGUUGGCCGACGCAAAUCCCAAAAACCCAGAGUUUAAAA
Nematostella vectensis (starlet sea anemone) is the source of this 563-nucleotide long non-coding RNA. RefSeq lists it as uncharacterized. The transcript has 5 exons. Lineage: Eukaryota; Metazoa; Cnidaria; Anthozoa; Actiniaria; Edwardsiidae. The record is from RefSeq and is a predicted model, not a curated record.